CAAUAGCGUAUAUUAAAGUUGUUGCAGUUAAAAAGCCCGUAGUUGGAUUUCGGGGCAGCCUGGCUGGUCCGCCGCAAGGCGAGUACUGGUCAGCCGCCCUUCCUCUCGAAAGCCCCGACUGCUCUUCGUUGCAGUGGUCGGGUAGUUCGGGACGUUUACUUUGAAAAAAUUAGAGUGUUCAAGGCAGGCCUACGCCUGAAUACAUUAGCAUGGAAUAAUGGAAGAGGACCUCGGUCCUAUUUUGUUGGUUUCCAGGGCCGAAGUAAUGAUUAAGAGGGACAGUUGGGGGCAUUCGUAUUUAAUUGUCAGAGGUGAAAUUCUCGGAUUUAUGAAAGACGAACAACUGCGAAAGCAUUUGCCAAGGAUGUUUUCAUUAA
Molecule: ribosomal RNA, 377 nt
Filed under: uncultured eukaryote
Lineage: Eukaryota
Description: partial 18S ribosomal RNA
Rfam family: Eukaryotic small subunit ribosomal RNA
Source: RNAcentral